UGGUGAACACUUGUGACUACUAGUUUCCCACU
RNAcentral lists this non-coding RNA (32 nucleotides) under Rattus norvegicus (Norway rat). Lineage: Eukaryota; Metazoa; Chordata; Mammalia; Rodentia; Muridae. The record is from RNAcentral.